Molecule: transfer RNA, 58 nt
Filed under: Ictidomys tridecemlineatus (thirteen-lined ground squirrel)
Lineage: Eukaryota; Metazoa; Chordata; Mammalia; Rodentia; Sciuridae
Description: Spermophilus tridecemlineatus (thirteen-lined ground squirrel) tRNA
Rfam family: tRNA
About the family: Transfer RNA (tRNA) molecules are approximately 80 nucleotides in length. Their secondary structure includes four short double-helical elements and three loops (D, anti-codon, and T loops).
Source: Rfam by way of RNAcentral
UAGCUCAGUGCUCAGAGUGCUUGCUUUGAAUGCAUAAAGCCCUGGGUUCAAUCCCCAG